GCGCUCAGUUCUGCAGCACACACACUAACAUUGGACAGAUACAGAGAUUAGUAUGUCCCCUGAAAGAGGAUGACACACAAAUUUGUGAAGCAUCCCAUGUUUUU
Molecule: small nuclear RNA, 104 nt
Organism: Onychomys torridus (southern grasshopper mouse)
Lineage: Eukaryota; Metazoa; Chordata; Mammalia; Rodentia; Cricetidae
Source: RefSeq, a predicted model, not a curated record